Long non-coding RNA from Thalassophryne amazonica, 283 nucleotides. RefSeq lists it as uncharacterized. The record is from RefSeq and is a predicted model, not a curated record. NCBI's taxonomy places the organism in Eukaryota, Metazoa, Chordata, Actinopteri, Batrachoidiformes, Batrachoididae. The transcript has 3 exons.
UUCUUGGUCAUGUUAAUCACUGGAGAGAUCUACCAGCUGAUCAACUUCGCCUCCGCUGCCCGUUGGUUUUUCAUCGCCUGGACAACCUUGGGGCUGCUCAUUCAUCGAUACCACUUCCCGCUUCACCCGAGACCUUUCAAGACCCCUGGAACACAGAGAUAAGCUUUGCUCUCACACUGACCGGGGUCCCAGUUUACUACGUGACCAUCUACCCAAAAAAUGUAGCCAAAAAAUGGAGACGUGCCUUAGACUACUGCACCAAGCAGCUGCAGAUCCUUCUAGA